GUGCCAGCAGCCGCGGUAAUACGUAGGGGGCAAGCGUUGUCCGGAAUUAUUGGGCGUAAAGCGCGUGUAGGCGGCCAGAUAAGUCCGCUGUGAAAUCUCGAGGCUCAACUUCGAGCUGUCGGUGGAAACUGUCUGGCUAGAGUCCGGAAGAGGAGAAUGGAAUUCCUGGUGUAGCGGUGAAAUGCGCAGAUAUCAGGAAGAACACCCGUGGCGAAGGCGGUUCUCUGGGACGGUACUGACGCUGAGACGCGAAAGCGUGGGGAGCGAACAGGAUUAGAAACCCCCGUAGUCC
Molecule: ribosomal RNA, 292 nt
Filed under: uncultured bacterium
Lineage: Bacteria
Description: partial 16S ribosomal RNA
Rfam family: Bacterial small subunit ribosomal RNA
Source: RNAcentral